UACGUAGGGCGCGAGCGUUGUCCGGAAUUAUUGGGCGUAAAGAGCUCGUAGGCGGUUUGUCGCGUCGGUUGUGAAAACCCAAGGCUCAACCUUGGGCCUGCAAUCGAUACGGGCAGACUAGAGUACUGCAGGGGAGACUGGAAUUCCUGGUGUAGCGGUGGAAUGCGCAGAUAUCAGGAAGAACAUCAGUGGCGAAGGCGGCCUGCUGGGCUGUUGCUGACGCUGAGGCGCGACAGCGUGGGGAGCAAACAGG
RNAcentral lists this ribosomal RNA (253 nucleotides) under uncultured bacterium. RNAcentral describes it as "partial 16S ribosomal RNA". It matches the Rfam family "Bacterial small subunit ribosomal RNA", at positions 524 to 776 of the family's 1533-position model. The record is from RNAcentral.